GGCGACGUAGCCAAGUGGUAAGGCAGAGCUCUGCAAAAGCUCUAUUCCCCAGUUCGAGUCUGGGCGUCGCCU
This is a transfer RNA of 72 nucleotides. It matches the Rfam family "tRNA". From Rfam's summary of the family: Transfer RNA (tRNA) molecules are approximately 80 nucleotides in length. Their secondary structure includes four short double-helical elements and three loops (D, anti-codon, and T loops).